GACGAGGUGGCCGAGUGGUUAAGGCGAUGGACUGCUAAUCCAUUGUGCAUUGCAUUCGUGGGUUCGAAUCCCACCCUCGUCG
RNAcentral lists this transfer RNA (82 nucleotides) under Loxodonta africana (African savanna elephant). Its description in RNAcentral is "tRNA-Ser (GCT) (tRNA-Ser-GCT-9-1)". It matches the Rfam family "tRNA". Rfam says of the family: Transfer RNA (tRNA) molecules are approximately 80 nucleotides in length. Their secondary structure includes four short double-helical elements and three loops (D, anti-codon, and T loops). Lineage: Eukaryota; Metazoa; Chordata; Mammalia; Proboscidea; Elephantidae. The record is from Rfam by way of RNAcentral.